AGUGAACGCUGGCGGUAGGCCUAACACAUGCAAGUCGAACGGCAGCACAGUAAGAGCUUGCUCUUACGGGUGGCGAGUGGCGGACGGGUGAGGAAUACAUCGGAAUCUACUUUUUCGUGGGGGAUAACGUAGGGAAACUUACGCUAAUACCGCAUACGACCUACGGGUGAAAGCAGGGGAUCUUCGGACCUUGCGCGAUUGAAUUAGCCGAUGUCGGAUUAGCUAGUUGGCGGGGUAAAGGCCCACCAAGGCGACGAUCCGUAGCUGGUCUGAGAGGAUGGUCGGCCACACUGGAACUGAGACACGGUCAAGACUCCUACGGGAGGCAGCAGUGGGGAAUAUUGGACAAUGGGCGCAAGCCUGAUCCAGCCAUACCGCGUGGGUGAAGAAGGCCUUCGGGUUGUAAAGCCCUUUUGUUGGGAAAGAAAAGCAGCAGGUUAAUACCCCGCUGUUCUGACGGUACCCAAAGAAUAAGCACCGGCUAACUUCGUG
RNAcentral lists this ribosomal RNA (492 nucleotides) under uncultured bacterium. RNAcentral's name for it is "partial 16S ribosomal RNA". It matches the Rfam family "Bacterial small subunit ribosomal RNA", at positions 29 to 507 of the family's 1533-position model. The record is from RNAcentral.